This 375-nucleotide ribosomal RNA is filed under the name Notibisetacus gardeniae. Its description in RNAcentral is "partial small subunit ribosomal RNA". The record is from RNAcentral. Lineage: Eukaryota; Metazoa; Arthropoda; Arachnida; Trombidiformes; Eriophyidae.
CUUAUGUUUAAUAAGAAUGACGGGCAAUUUGUGCAUUAUUUAAAAAUUUUUAAAAUGAAAAUUUCAUUAUAUUUAACAUUUUAAUUUUAAGUUCAUAUAAUAAUAAAAUUAGUUAAUAAAAUUAUAAAAAUUUUUUAAUAUAAUCCAUAAAAACUAAAAAAUAAUCUUUGUCUUGAUUUACUAUAUAAAAAUUAAAAUUUUUUAAAUUUUUAUAAAAAUAAAUUAUAAAUUUUAAACAAUGAUAUAAAAAAUAAAAUUUUUAGUAAAAUUGAAUGUGGAUUAUCAAUUAAAAUACAGAACCCCCUAAUAAUUUAAAAUAACCGCCAUUUUAUUUAGGUUUUUUUUAAUUAAAUACUACCUUAAAAUAAAUUAAAA